RNAcentral lists this ribosomal RNA (303 nucleotides) under uncultured bacterium. RNAcentral describes it as "partial 16S ribosomal RNA". It matches the Rfam family "Bacterial small subunit ribosomal RNA", at positions 507 to 809 of the family's 1533-position model. The record is from RNAcentral.
AGCAGUAGCCGCGGUAAUACGUAGGUGGCAAGCGUUGUCCGGAAUUAUUGGGCGUAAAGCGCGCGCAGGCGGAUCGGUCAGUCUGUCUUAAAAGUUCGGGGCUUAACCCCGUGAUGGGAUGGAAACUGCCAAUCUAGAGUAUCGGAGAGGAAAGUGGAAUUCCUAGUGUAGCGGUGAAAUGCGUAGAUAUUAGGAAGAACACCAGUGGCGAAGGCGACUUUCUGGACGAAAACUGACGCUGAGGCGCGAAAGCCAGGGGAGCGAACGGGAUUAGAUACCCCCGUAGUCCCUGUCUCUUAUACA